UGAUUAUAAAUUAAUAUAUAAUUUACCAGAGUACUAUGAACACACAGUUUAAAACUCAAAGGGCUUGGCGGUGCUUUAGACUAUUCAGGGGAACCUGUCUCGUAAUCGAUAGUCCACGAUACACCUAACCUUUUUUAGUUAUCAGUAUGUAUACCGUCGUCGUCAGGUAACUUUUAAAAAUAAAGAAGUUAGCGACAAAAAUUAUGAUAAUUUUGUACGUCAGAUCAAGGUGCAGCUUAUAAAAAGGUGAGGAUGGGUUACAAUUAAGAUUUAUAAUAACGGAAAAAAGCUUGAUAUAGCUUUUAAUG
This 308-nucleotide ribosomal RNA is filed under the name Alviniconcha hessleri. RNAcentral's name for it is "partial small subunit ribosomal RNA". It matches the Rfam family "Bacterial small subunit ribosomal RNA", at positions 875 to 1325 of the family's 1533-position model. The record is from RNAcentral. Lineage: Eukaryota; Metazoa; Mollusca; Gastropoda; Provannidae.